This 763-nucleotide ribosomal RNA is filed under the name Glomeromycotina sp. OTU14 DJMC-2012. RNAcentral describes it as "eukaryotic LSU rRNA". It matches the Rfam family "Eukaryotic large subunit ribosomal RNA", at positions 49 to 656 of the family's 3401-position model. The record is from RNAcentral. Lineage: Eukaryota; Fungi; Glomeromycota.
AGCGGAGGAAAAGAAAAUAACAAUGAUUCCCCUAGUAACUGCGAGUGAAGAGGGAUAAGCUCAAAUUUUAAAUCUGUUUGGUUCUACCUGACAGAGUUGUAAUUUAAAGAGACGUUUUCUGUGUCUUGAGUUAAUCAAAAUCCUUUGGAAUGAGGUAUCAUGGAGGGUGACAAUCCCGUUCAUGGUUAAUUCUAAGAUACUUUAUGAUGCGUUUUCGAAGAGUCGAGUUGUUUGGGAUUGCAGCUCAAAAUGGGAGGUAAAUUUCUCCUAAGGCUAAAUAUUGGCGAGAGACCGAUAGCGAACAAGUACCGUGAGGGAAAGAUGAAAAGAACUUUGAAAAGAGAGUUAAACAGUACGUGAAAUUGUUGAAAGGGAAACGAUUGAAGUCAGUCGUACCAGCGGGAAAUCAACCUUUCGAGUGGGGGUUUUGGAGUUUUGAAGAGUGUCAAAACCUUUGAGAUUUCAAAAUAUUCGCUCUUUUGGUGUACUUUCUCGUGGGUAGGUUAACAUCGAUUUUGAUCAUCAUAAAAAGAUUGGAGGAAUGUAGCUUCGAUCUUGUAUUGAAGUGUUAUAGCCUUUGGUAAAUGUGAUGAUUAGGAUCGAGGAUUGCAACGAAUACCCUUUUGGGCUAUCCGCCUGAUCUCUGAUACGUGGCCUUGGUAUCGAAAGCUUGCUUAUGGUAUUGAGGUAUUACGGUCAAAAGGUUAGAACGGAUUACAUUCGUUAAGGAUGUUGACGUAAUGGCUUUAAACGACCCGUCUUG